RNAcentral lists this unclassified non-coding RNA (384 nucleotides) under Athalia rosae (coleseed sawfly). Its description in RNAcentral is "misc RNA ENSAEAG00005007549.1". The record is from RNAcentral. Lineage: Eukaryota; Metazoa; Arthropoda; Insecta; Hymenoptera; Athaliidae.
CGAACAAUUCAUCGUCAUCGGUCGGUCUAUGGAUAUCGUACGGCAAAUCCGCAUAGGAUAAUUUGCCUACAAUCGUUCCGAGGUCAUCAGUCGGUAUCAGAUCUGAUAACUUACUGAUUAAAAACUCAUGACACACCUUUGACGUUCCAUCGAAGCAUAUCCUCUAAAUCGAAGUUGAACACAACCCUGACGUUGACGAAUACUAAUGAUGACAUGUCAUUAUAAUUACUCCUUUAUCCAGGUAAUUGCAUUCUUGGUCUCGAAAUCAAAGAUAGUCAGAGGAUCAGAGGCGACAGUCUUCAGGCAUGUGCAAUUUUUGGGAUGGACAAUAGAUUCAAGCAACGGCGAAACUACUUGUCAAAUUUAUUUGAAUAUAGAUGCAAC